CGCAUCUGUGCAUGCAGCAUAUCAAUAAGCGGAGGAAAAGAAAACUAACAAGGAUUCCCCUAGUAACGGCGAGUGAAGCGGGAAGAGCUCAAAUUUGAAAUCUUAAAGGGUUUUCCCUUUACGAAUUGUAGUUUUAAAGAAGUGUUUUUCUGUUGAGGUUUUUGGUAAAAGUUCUUUGGAAUAGGACAUCAUAGAGGGUGAGAAUCCCGUAUUUGACCUUUACUUUCAACUUUGUGAUACACUUUCAAAGAGUCGGAUUGUUUGGGAAUGCUAGUCCAAAAAUGGGUGGUAAAUUUCAUCUAAAGCUAAAUAUUGGCGAGAGACCGAUAGCGAACAAGUACCGUGAGGGAAAGAUGAAAAGAACUUUGAAAAGAGAGUUUAAAACAGUACGUGAAAAUUGUCAAAAGGGAAGCGUUUUGACACCAGUGUUUGUUUUUUUCUGAAAAUCAAUUAAAGAAACUGUUUUAUGCUAAGUUGUUUUAGACUUUAUCAGCUAAUCUGUUUUAGUUUUUGAGCUUUUCUUUAAUGCACUUUUUCAGUUAACAAGUCAACAUCAAUUUUCUUUUGCUGUAAAAAAAGCUUGAGGAAGGUGGCUUGAGAUUCGUCUUAAGUGUUUUAUAGCCUCUUGCCUAUGCAGUCGGAGAGAUUGAGGUCUGCAGCGUAGAUCCUUCGGGGCUAAAUGCAUUUGUGCUAAGUUUAUAGCAUUUUCAUAGACAACUUGUUGACUAUGAUUUUGUCUUGUAGCUUACUCGCUUAUGUUAUUUUUACCUACGCUUAGGAUGUUGACAGCAGUAUAGACUGU
Molecule: ribosomal RNA, 802 nt
Filed under: uncultured Neocallimastigales
Lineage: Eukaryota; Fungi; Neocallimastigomycota; Neocallimastigomycetes; Neocallimastigales
Description: partial large subunit ribosomal RNA
Rfam family: Eukaryotic large subunit ribosomal RNA
Source: RNAcentral